This 1522-nucleotide ribosomal RNA is filed under the name uncultured bacterium. RNAcentral describes it as "bacterial SSU rRNA". It matches the Rfam family "Bacterial small subunit ribosomal RNA". The record is from RNAcentral.
AGAGUUUGAUCCUGGCUCAGGAUGAACGCUGGCGGCAGGCUUAAUACAUGCAAGUCGAACGGUAAGGCCGAUCGUAGCAAUACGGGAGGCACACGAGUGGCGCACGGGUGCGUAACGCGUAUGCAACCUGCCCCCGACCGGGACAAAACGCUGAGAAAUCGGCGCUAAUAUCCCAUGCUGAUGCGGAGCGGCAUCGCUUUGCAUCGAAAGAUUGAUUGGUCGGGGAUGGGCAUGCGUGCCAUUAGCUAGUUGGUGGGGUAAGGGCCCACCAAGGCGACGAUGGCUAGGGGUUCUGAGAGGAAGGUCCCCCACACUGGAACUGAGACACGGUCCAGACUCCUACGGGAGGCAGCAGUAGGGAAUAUUGGGCAAUGGGAGCAAUCCUGACCCAGCCAUGCCGCGUGCAGGAAGACGGCCCUAUGGGUUGUAAACUGCUUUUGCCGGGGAGUAACCCCGGGGACGUGUCCCCGGCUGAGAGUACCCGGCGAAUAAGCACCGGCUAACUCCGUGCCAGCAGCCGCGGUAAUACGGAGGGUGCGAGCGUUAUCCGGAUUCAUUGGGUUUAAAGGGUGCGCAGGCGGACGGCCAAGUCGUGGGUGAAAUCCCGCCGCUCAACGGUGGAUGUGCCUACGAUACUGGUCGACUGGAGUUCUGGUGGCGCGGCCGGAAUGUGACGUGUAGCGGUGAAAUGCAUAGAUAUGUCACAGAACGCCGAUCGUGAAGACAGGCCGCGAACCGGAGACUGACGCUCAUGCACGAAAGCGUGGGUAUCAAACAGGAUUAGAUACCCUGGUAGUCCACGCCGUAAACGAUGACCACUCGUUCCCGGGCCGCGAGGUUCGGGGGCCAAGCGAAAGCGAUAAGUGGUCCACCUGGGGAGUACGAUCGCAAGGUUGAAACUCAAAGGAAUUGACGGGGGCCCGCACAAGCGGAGGAGCAUGUGGUUUAAUUCGAUGAUACGCGAGGAACCUUACCCGGGCUUGAACGUGCAAGGACGAUGCGAGAGAUCGCAUUUCCCUUCGGGGCCUUGUGCGAGGUGCUGCAUGGUUGUCGUCAGCUCGUGCCGUGAGGUGUUAGGUUAAGUCCUGCAACGAGCGCAACCCCUGCCCGCAGUUGCCAUCAGGUAGAGCUGGGCACUCUGCGGGGACUGCCCGCGCAAGCGUGGAGGAAGGCGGGGAUGACGUCAAAUCAGCACGGCCCUUAUGUCCGGGGCUACACACGUGCUACAAUGGCCGGCACAGAGGGGAGCCACCCAGCGAUGGGGAGCGGAUCCCGAAAGCCGGUCCCAGUUCGGAUCGGAGUCUGCAACCCGACUCCGUGAAGUUGGAUUCGCUAGUAAUCGCGCAUCAGCCAUGGCGCGGUGAAUACGUUCCCGGGCCUUGUACACACCGCCCGUCAAGCCAUGGAAGCCGGUGGUACCUGAAGUCCGUGCCCGCAAGGAGCGGCCUAGGGUAAAACGGGUAACUGGGGCUAAGUCGUAACGAGGUAGCCGUACCGGAAGGUGUGGCUGGAACACCUCCUU